GAUGAUUUAGCUAUCAGACACGAGCAGCAGCAGCGCAUUGAUCAUCAUCAAGGACAUUCUUUGUGUGAUUUGCACACGUUUCAGUAUGGCCUCUGGAGCUGGCGGAAGUGUCAUCCCUUGCAAUAUUGACAUCUUGGCAGUCCUUCUGAUCAUAUAGGUCACACGUGUAAGCUUCCAGAGCCUCACAUAGUUCUGGUGAUGGGGUGAAACUUGUUCCUAGUUCUCUAAACAUAGUGAUGUAUUCUGUUUUUGAAAUUAGUUUUUUGUAUGCUUUUGCUUUCCCAACCUUAUGCAGAGCGCUCACUGUGUCACAUCCAGAAAAGGCAUGCAGACCUACAAGGGCAUCACAUUUGUCUUAGCCAAGAUGGGCAUGUAGCUUGGUAAUGUCAGUAAUGUGUGUGUUUCUCCCCUUGGCUGUAUGGAAAUGGAGGUGGCCAUCAAUGUGGCUGCAGAAAGCUAGAGCCAGCACAAAGACAUCGGUGUCUGGGCUCUUGAUUACCAGGUCAUGGCUGUGUUUGGCUGCAAGGGCUGCAUGCAGUAUCAUUCUGGUGUCUGCCACCUCUUGACUUAUCUCUAGGUCUUUGAGUUCCAGUAUCUCAAGGUCAGUAUAGCUCACAUUCAUCUUAAUUGCGUGACACUUGCUUCCAUGUGCAAUAACGACGGUUAUAUUGUCAAUUAUAUUCUUUGCAGAUGAGCUCCAAUAUUGGAAGAAAUAAUCCAGUAAGUUUUCUUUAUUUUGGCCACAUGCCAGGAAUUUUUCCCACUGCUUUGAGUUUUUUUUUUUUUGAUCAUCUCAAUAUAUUUAGAUUUUUUUGGUAGCCCUGUUCUGCACGCCGACUACGCUCAGCAUUUUUGAUGCUCAGGUUGCUGUAUGUGUCGCAUACAAAAUGAAGCUCUGUUGACUUGGUUGCCUUAGCUGAGUGAACUAAUGUCUUCAGUACAUGAUCAGCAUACAACCCAAAUGUUGGCUGUGGCUUUAGCUGUUUCACCAUAGCCAUAGCAUCCCAAAUCCAAACUGAGCCAUCAGGAAUGUCACUCACUGUUGCAGGCGGGUUGAUCUUAUCGAGCAAGAUGUGCAUCAGCUUAGCUUUGAUGGCUCUCUGGUCAAAACCAACAAAGUUGGAAAUUGACUGUGGAAAAGGACCCAAACUGGUUAUGGAAUGAUGCUUCGCCAUUGACGAUCCUUUUUUCACAGAUUUUUCAAAGUGGCAGCAGGAGUGAAGGUGCUUCUGUUGCAGUGGAACACACAGCAGGCAGAAGAACAGAAGCUUCUGCAUUUGAAUUAGAGGGUGAAGAGACUGCAGCCCUGGAAGCCCUGUUUGAUGAAGGAGAGUGAAGAAGCACCUUCUGCAGCACUGGAGGGGUCCUGUUGAACUGUGUAUAUGUAACGCAUGGUUAAUAGGAGAGAAGAGGCAAGAAGUUUCAAGAGCACUGAUUAUUUAAUGUGUAAGUGUUUUUGUUCCCUUGUGAAGAACUGCUGAAGCUGCGCACCUCUAUGAUGACAGCAUUAUGUAGCUUUGUUGUGUUAAAGUGCAAAUAUUGUGUUAAAA
Molecule: long non-coding RNA, 1550 nt
Organism: Cyprinus carpio carpio
Lineage: Eukaryota; Metazoa; Chordata; Actinopteri; Cypriniformes; Cyprinidae
Source: Ensembl